Non-coding RNA from Triticum aestivum (bread wheat), 409 nucleotides. Lineage: Eukaryota; Viridiplantae; Streptophyta; Magnoliopsida; Poales; Poaceae. The record is from Rfam.
GCGGUAAUACCGCUCCCUUGAGCGGUAGUACCGCUUGAGCUUUUCCAGAACAUAAUGGUUGGAUCCUCCUAUGGCGGACACAGGUGGUGCAUGGUUGUCGUCAACUCAUGCCGUAAGGUGUUGGGUUAAGUCUCGCAACGAGCGCAACCCCCGUGUUUAGUUGCCACUAUGAGUUUGGAACCCUGAACAGACCACCGGUGUUAAGCCGGAGGAAGGAGAGGAUGAGGCGAAGUCAUCAUGCCCCUUAUGCCCUGGGCGACACACGUGCUACAAUGGGCGGGACAAAGGGCCGUGAUCUCGCGAGGGUGAGCUAACUCCAAAAACCCGUCCUCAAUUCGGAUUCCAGGUCGUAACUCACCUACAUGAAGCAGGAAUCGCUAGUACUCGCCGGUCACGUUGGGCUAGUAAU